AAAAGGAGCAAGCUACAAUACUCAGGCACUGCCUUGGAUAGAAAAGCUUCACUCACAAUGAGAAAAAGUUACUGAAAUCUCAGAGUAUAGCAGUGUAUUUCUCAUGCUUUGGUUCAGAUUCAUAUCUAAAGGAGACUAACCCUUUACCAAGCACCCCCAAGUGCAGGACCAUGUCUGGAGGGGGAACCAGGUCUCCCCGUCCCUGAAGCUCUCAGCGAGUCCUGGAGCGACCGCUGCAGGGAGAGCCAUUUCUGGAAGUCAUCGGUCAACUUCCUAUCAAACAGCUUUACACAUUUGCAGGAAUAAAAAGUCAGUCUAAACUAACAUCACCCCAUGGCAGCCCCCAGCAACUGCUCUCCAGAUGGAUGCUGCUCUUUGCUGUGUGGCCCAAGGAGCCUUCCCAUCCCCUCCCCAGCAGCAGAUUGCUUUCUGGACAGAGUCUGUCAGGAGAUGGCACAAACCAAAAGGGAGACAACAGUGCUUUUUCAUGGAGUAAUUCAUUCCUUUAUGUACCCAGAAGGAACCGCUCUAUGAAUGCCAUCCAGGCUCAGCCCUGGAGGUGCUGCUGCAUGACACCCUGGGUAGCUGAACAAGAAGAGUACACCAUGAAUAAUUAGCCAGCUAAAGCAAAUCUGUUGUGUGACUAACACCCAGGGACUCGAGGAGAACAUAACAGCUGUGUUUCA
Molecule: long non-coding RNA, 686 nt
Organism: Gallus gallus (chicken)
Lineage: Eukaryota; Metazoa; Chordata; Aves; Galliformes; Phasianidae
Exons: 3
Source: RefSeq, a predicted model, not a curated record